RNAcentral lists this ribosomal RNA (253 nucleotides) under uncultured bacterium. RNAcentral's name for it is "partial 16S ribosomal RNA". It matches the Rfam family "Bacterial small subunit ribosomal RNA", at positions 524 to 776 of the family's 1533-position model. The record is from RNAcentral.
UACGGGGGGGGCAAGCGUUGUUCGGAAUUACUGGGCGUAAAGGGCGCGUAGGCGGCCUAUUAAGUCGGACGUGAAAUCCCUCGGCUCAACCGGGGAACUGCGUCCGAUACUGGCAGGCUUGAAUCCGGGAGAGGGAUGUGGAAUUCCAGGUGUAGCGGUGAAAUGCGUAGAUAUCUGGAGGAAUACCGGCGGCGAAGGCGGCAUCCUGGACCGGUAUUGACGCUGAGGCGCGAAAGCUAGGGGAGCAAACGGG